This 30-nucleotide non-coding RNA is filed under the name Homo sapiens (human). Lineage: Eukaryota; Metazoa; Chordata; Mammalia; Primates; Hominidae. The record is from RNAcentral.
UGGAUUGAGAAGUGGAAGAGUCACUGUGCA